This is a small nuclear RNA of Astyanax mexicanus (Mexican tetra), 179 nucleotides long. It matches the Rfam family "U2 spliceosomal RNA". Rfam says of the family: U2 is a small nuclear RNA (snRNA) component of the spliceosome (involved in pre-mRNA splicing). Complementary binding between U2 snRNA (in an area lying towards the 5' end but 3' to hairpin I) and the branchpoint sequence (BPS) of the intron results the bulging out of an unpaired adenosine, on the BPS, which initiates a nucleophilic attack at the intronic 5' splice site, thus starting the first of two transesterification reactions that mediate splicing. NCBI's taxonomy places the organism in Eukaryota, Metazoa, Chordata, Actinopteri, Characiformes, Acestrorhamphidae. The record is from Rfam.
CUGGUAUUUCAAAAGGAAAAAAAAAUCUGUUCUUUUCAGUUUAAUGUCUGAUAAGCCCUCUAUAUGAGGGCUACAUAUUAAAAUGGAUUUUUAGAACAGGGAGCCAGAAGAGGAGCUUGCUUCUUCUGCUCCACGCAUCGACCUGGUAUUGCAGUACCUCCAGGACCGGUGCACCUUCC